Long non-coding RNA from Lotus japonicus, 8715 nucleotides. RefSeq lists it as uncharacterized. Lineage: Eukaryota; Viridiplantae; Streptophyta; Magnoliopsida; Fabales; Fabaceae. The record is from RefSeq and is a predicted model, not a curated record. The transcript has 5 exons.
UUCUCUUCCUGUGCAAUUUGAAAUCAUGAUCUCUCCCCUCAUCUUCAUAUCUGGAUUCUUUCUCUUCAGCAGAACGAAGAUUUUGAAAGAAAAAUGCUUUCGCACCCAUCAUCAUUCUCUCCCCCUGUCGCCAAAACGCUGCUCAUCAUAAUCCUCAUCACCUUUUCACUUCCCAUAAUCUAUCUUUCACGCACGAGGCUUCUUCUCAUCUUCAGUUAGAUCAUUUUCAUACACCCGAGUUCUUCUCCGCCACUUUGAGUUCUACCCCUCCCCCUCUCUGUCGAGUUUGCACUCACCCACCCGCACCGCCACGAGUUCCGGUUUCGAAGGUUCCUCGCCAAUAAACCCUCCCGCUCUUCCAAUGGAACCGCCGCGGCAGAAUUACCUGCAGGAAUGAUUUCUCAUAAAUGGAUUGGACCAUUUUUUAAAGAUUAAAAUAGCAAGGAUGUUCAUCUCCAAAUCCAAACUUACCUGUCCUGUUCAAGCUAGUAAUUGAACUACAGAUUUUACAAAUCAAUUCAUUUGUAAUAACUGGACAUGUGGCCGAUUCGAGCAAAAAGGGCAUGGAGAAGAAGUUGAUUGAAUAGGUAAGAAGAGUAAAGAAAUUGAGUGGAAAAGAUGAGGAUCACUUUCAUAGGCUAAAGGUCAUUGUACGUAAGUGGCUCCUCAAUACUAUUUUUGAAUAAAUUUGCUGGAUUUGUUUCAUCUUUGUUCGUUGAAUGAAGCAGUUAGAGGUAGCAUAAAGUAUACAUGUCCUGUUCAAGGUAUUAAUUGUAAUUAAGAUGUUUUUUUAAUUCUAAUUAGAUUCUGCUAUUUUUUUGCUCUCACCUUUCUUUUGAUUCUGUUCAUACUGAGAAUGCUACAUAUAACAAUGUGUUCAAGUCGUUGCAAAAAAAUAUCCAUCUGUAUCAAAGUUCUUAUAGAAGAAUAAAGUCUGUAAAAUAUUAUACUAUGUUUAUGACCAAUUGCAGGUUUGUGAGGGUGUAGAUUAUAAUUUAAUGAUUGUUGCUAAAUUUAUAGCGAGAACCAUUAACAAUUGGUGGUCUUUUAUAUAUGGGUACUUUUAUUGAUAUGUUAGUUUGAGUUGUGGGGAAUUUUAUCAGUAAUUUUGAUUUUGAAUAUUUCAUAGUUCCCACAUAACUUCUCUUUCAUUGUCUUUGAUCUAAAGGAAUGGGUUAAACAGUUAGACCUGUGUCUGAUGGAAUCAAGAACAGAGAAAGAGAAUUGGCUUAUUCAAUUGAACUGAAACUGAACCAAAAUCCACAAAGUGUGAACCAAUGGCUCUGAGAUUCAAGAAUUGGAAACUGCAACUGGAACUAUGAACCCUAACUCCUCUGGAACUUCGAGAGUCCAGGAUCUCCAACAAACUAACUGAAUCUCUAACUACUCAACAAACUACCAUGUUCCUCUAUUUAUAGGACAGGAUCCUAACUGCCAACUCUAACAGACUAGUUACUAGGCUAGUCCUUAUUACAUUGAUAUCAGAAUAUAACAGAAUUAGACUAUACAACUGUCUUCUUCUUAUUCCUUCUUUCAUAAACCUUCUUUAUUAGAGGGCGAUGUUCAUCAAUACCCCCCCCUAAAAGCUUCACCUUGCCCUCAAGGGGAAAAGUAGGAAAAGCCUCAUGAAUGCGAGCUGCAGACUCCCAGCUGUUCUCACAAGAAGGUAGGGUCUGCCACUGAACCAGAACUUCAAUUUCCCCCAGCUUGUCCUCCCUAAUGUCCAACACAUCCUCAGGAGAAACCAACAACUCAUGAUCCUCAGUCAAAGCCGCAGGCAAAGGCUGGGACUGAAAAUCAGUCCCCACAACCUUCUUGAGGAGAGAAACAUGGAAGACUGGAUGCACCUUACUCUGAGCAGGAAGAUCCAACUUAUAAGCUACUGCCCCAAUCCUUUCCAAAAUCUGGUAUGGGCCAUAAAAUCUGGGACUGAGCUUCUCAUUCAUCUUCUUAGCCAGGGAUCUUCUCCUGUAAGGUUGAAGUUUAAGAUAGACCCAAUCUCCAAUCUGGUACUCCACAUCCCUUCUAUGCUUAUUGGCAUAUUUUCUCAUCAUGUCUUGUGAUUUCAGCAGAUUGGCCCGAAGGUCAUCUAACAACUCAUCUCUGCUAAUGGUAAGAUCAUUAACCUCAGCAAUCUUAGAAGGAAUAGUUGUCCCUUUGAGCAAUAAGGGGGGCUCUUGACCAUAGAGAGCCUGAAAAGGUGACAUGCGAGUAGAUCUAUUGUAGUUACUGUUAUACCAAAAUUCUGCCCAAGGUAUACAGGUAACCCAUCUCUUAGGUCUGGAUCCAGUAAGACAUCUCAAAUAAACCUCAAUGCACCUGUUUACUACUUCUGUUUGCCCAUCCGUUUGUGGAUGGUAAGCAGUGCUGAACUUCAACUGAGUUCCAGAAGCUUUAAAAAGCUCUUUCCAGAAUUGACUAAGAAAGAGAGAGUCCCUAUCAGACACAAUAGUUGCUGGGAAUCCAUGCAAUCUUACUACCUCUUGCAGAAACAGAGUGGCGACCUCAGGACCAGUAUAAGGGUGACUAAGAGGAAUGAAAUGAGCAUAUUUGGUCAAACGAUCCACCACCACAAGAAUUGUGUCCUUGCCUUUGGAUUUGGGAAGGCCCCCGAUGAAAUCCAUUGACACAUCAGUCCAAACCUGAGUAGGAAUAGGCAGAGGCUGGAGUAAGCCAGCAGGGGACAGAUUGUCAAACUUAUUCCUUUGACAAAUGUCACACUUGGACACAAACUCCUUAACAUCUGAUUUCAUGCCUUCCCAAUACACCACACUUGCCAAUCUCUGAUAAGUUCUGAAAUAGCCUGAAUGUCCCCCCAUUAGAGAGGCAUGGAAUUCCUUACAUAGUAGAGGAAUCCUAGAGGAUUGUUUAGACAACACCAGCUUCCCUUUGUAAAACAAUUUGUGGUCCUUAAGGGUAUAUCCCUUGUGAGAAUCAGGAUUGACUAGCAAAUCCUGGGUAAUGGCUUGCAAUUUUGGGUCUUGAAGCAAUUCAGUUUGCCAUUCCUCAUAAUCAUUAACUCUGAGGACAGAAAGUGCACAAUAAGAACUUCUUCUAGACAAUGCAUCUGCUGCUGAAUUGUCUUUUCCAGGCUUGUACUGGAUCUCAAAAUCAUAUCCAGAAAGUUUAGAGACCCACCUAUAUUGUUCCUCCCCCAAGACCCUUUGCUCAGUCAAGAAUUUUAGGCUUUUCUGAUCUGUCCUGAUCACAAAUUGCCUUCCCAUCAAAUAAUGCCUCCAUCUCUGAACAGCUCUAACUACUGCCAUCAAUUCCCUCUCAUAGACAGAAUUGGCCUGACUUCUAUCUGACAAAGUAGCACUCCAGAAUGCAAGUGGUUUGCCCUCCUGAGUAAGCACAGCUCCCAGUCCAGUACCAGAUGCAUCUGUUUCCAAUACAAAAAGCUUGGAAAAAUCUGGAAUGGCUAAGGUAGGAAGGGCUGUAAGGGCCUGCUUAAGAGUUUCAAAAGCUUGUUGUGGUUCUAGUCCCCACCUGAAAUUAUCCUUCUUCAACAAUUGGGUCAAAGGCCUGGCUAUUUUGCCAUAAUCCUUAACAAACCUUCUGUAAUAUCCAGUCAGGCCUAAAAAUCCUCUCAAACUCUUUAGAUCCUUAGGGACUGGCCAUAGCCACAUGGCAUCCAGUUUUUUUGGAUCAGCUGCAACUGCUCCAGCAGUAAUAACAUGCCCCAAGUACUCAAUUUGUUGCUGGCCAAAGACACUCUUCUUCCCAUUAAUCUUGAGGUCAUGUUGCUCCAUCAAUUGGAGAACUUGUGAGAGAUGGAGAACAUGGUCUUCUAAACUGGAGCUGUAGAUCAAGAUAUCAUCAAAGAACACUAAAGCAUGUUUUCUUAGCACUGGCCUUAGAACCUCAUUCAUUAAGGACUGAAAUGUUGAUGGAGCAUUGGUGAGACCAAAAGGCAUCACCAAAAACUCAUAGUGUCCCUCAUGAGUGCGAAAUGCAGUCUUUUCCAUGUCUUCCUCUCUCAUCCUGAUCUGGUGAUAACCUGAUUUAAGAUCAAUCUUGGAAAAUAUCCUGGCAGGUCCUAUUUCAUCUAGCAGCUCAUCAAUGACAGGAAUUGGGAAUUUAUUGGGGAUAGUGACCUUAUUUAAAGCCCUAUAAUCAACACAAAAUCGCCAGCUACCAUCCUUUUUCCUUACUAAAAUCACUGGACUAGAAUAGGGACUAAUACUAGGUCUGAUUAUACCUGCAUUCAACAUCUCAGCUACCAAUUUUUCUAUCUCAUUUUUUUGGUAAUGAGGAUACCUGUAUGGUCUGAUAUUGGGAAUGGCAGCUCCCUCCUUCAAAUGAAUUGCAUGGUCAUGCCUUCUUUGAGGGGGAAGUCCUGUUGGAUUCUCAAACAAGGCAGGAAAACCAGCUAAAACCCUCUGCAAUAUCUCUGGAGUCUCAGCUAUGGGUGCUACCUCUUUUUCCAACAUUCUACACUUAACAACAAAACCUUCACCUUGCUGUUGAAUCUCCUUCACCAUAGUGUUCAUGGAAGCUUUCUUCUUGAUCAGCUCAGGUUCACCUUUGAUGAAAACUAAUGUAUCUCCCACUUUGAAUUUCAAGGUCAAUUUCUCAAAGUUGGCUUUAAUCUCCCCCAAACUAGCUAACCAUUCCAGUCCCAGUACAAUGUCCACACCUCCUAAUUCAAACAAGAAGAAAUCUUGCAUGAUCUGAUGUCCUUGAAUCUGCAGGCUAAUGUUUUUGCAAACCCCUUUGCAACUCACUUUAUGACCAUCUCCCACCUCUAUUGUAUAAGAUGGUGUUGCUGUAAUUUCCAAAGCCAGAGAUUUGGCUAAUUUUCUGGAAAUGAAAUUGUGAGUUGCCCCACAAUCUAUUAACACAAUGAUCUUUUCUUCCUGCAAUUGUCCCCACACUUUGAGUGAUCUUCUUGUAGUAAUUCCUUCAAUGCUGUUGAGGGAAAGUUGUUUGAGCUCUACAACUUCUUCCAGAUCCUCCAAUAGUUCAUCCUCAUUCCCAUUUUCCUCCUCUCCUCCAUCUUCUUCUAAAAGCAUUACCCUAAGCUGUUUGUUCUUGCAUACGUGAUUUGGCCCAAAUUUCUCCUCACACCUAAAACAUUCCCCUUUCCUCAAUUUUUCCUUCAUCUCUUCUCCAGUUAAUCUCCUGAAUCCUCCCACUCUUCCUGGCCUCAUUGUUGUCUUCUCUAUCACACUUCCACUGGAAGAUUGGGCAGACCCCUGAGAAGUUGUUCCCCCUGACUUUUGCCCUGUAUCCACAGCAACAGUCUUUUGAUAUGUUGGGAGCCUGUAUGAAGAUCUAAAAGAGAGAGCAUUCCUACUCCCAGUUCCCACUCCAGCUUUGCUGACAGCUAAAUUCUUUUGUUCCACCAUUAGAGCCUUCUUGACCAUAACAGUCAAAGUCUUGGGCACAUAGAGCUUGAUUUCUGCUGCUAUCUCCUCUUUCAACCCAUUCACAAAUAUAUCCAUGAAGUGAUCUUCCUCUAUACCUUUGAGCAUGCCUGCAAAUCUUUCAAAUUGCUCCACAAAUUCUUCCACACUUCCUUCCUGUUUCAAACUCAGUAAUGCUGCAAAAGGACUCGAAGCUGUUGUGAGUUGGAAACGUUCUAACAUGGCUUCUUUGAAGCUGUUCCAUGUAGUAGCUUGAUUACAUGUCUCCCACCAUUGGAACCAGCUCAAAGCUUUUCCAUCUAAAGCUACCAUAAUCGCUUGUAUUUUCUCUUCCUCAUUGGCUCCUUUCAAACGAAAAUACCUUUCCAGUUUCUGAAUCCAGCUAUACGCGUCUUCUUCUCCCUGGAACACUGGUAUAUCCAGUUUCCUCCAACGCUCCAUGUGAAGGUUGCCUUCACCGUGGCCUGGAUCACGCUGGUGCCCCACCGUCUCUCCCAACCUGCUAGCUCCCCCGCUUUCCUCAGCGUUGAUUUCUCCGCUCCUUCUCACGCCGCCGCUGCCGCUGGCGUCGCGCGCACCCUGGAUUCCCACGCCGUCGCCGCCAUUAGCGUCGCGUGCUCCCUCGCCUCGGCGCGCCACUGUCUCCAUGAAGCUUUCCAGAAUGCGAAACCUCUCGUCGGUUCGCUCCUUCUCAAUCGCUCGCUCCCUGCGUUCUUCCUCACGAAUCCGUCGAUCUUCCUCACGAUUCCUGCGUUCCACUUCACGAUCGCGACUCAACUCCUCGAUGAACCUCUCGAUUGCAUCUACUCGAGUCUCCAUUCUACUCACAACCAUAGACGAAUCGAUACCACAGCUCCUGGAUGGAGCUCUGAUACCAAAUUGAUGGAAUCAAGAACAGAGAAAGAGAAUUGGCUUAUUCAAUUGAACUGAAACUGAACCAAAAUCCACAAAUUGUGAACCAAUGGCUCUGAGAUACAAGAAUUGGAAACUGCAACUGGAACUAUGAACCCUAACUCCUCUGGAACUUCGAGAGUCCAGGAUCUCCAACAAACUAACUGAAUCUCUAACUACUCAACAAACUACCAUGUUCCUCUAUUUAUAGGACAGGAUCCUAACUGCCAACUCUAACAGACUAGUUACUAGGCUAGUCCUUAUUACAUUGAUAUCAGAAUAUAACAGAAUUAGACUAUACAACUGUCUUCUUCUUAUUCCUUCUUUCAUAAACCUUCUUUAUUAGAGGGCGAUGUUCAUCAGUGUCAUACUCCCUACGUUUUAUUUUUUUAAAUUCCCUUUCAGUUAUUGUGGCUCAAAUUAAAGGUUAUCUAUUGUCUUAUGUUAUUGUGCUAAAUGUCUUAGGUUUAUAUAGAUGUGAGACCUGCAACAGAUGAACAACUUCCAACUCCAAUACCAAGACUGAAAUAUUUUGUCUCUGAUCAACAAGGGGUUGUCUAUGUUUUCUAAUUAACUUUUCAUCUCCUCCUUUCAUAUCAAUUGAUUUAUUCUACUGCAUGCCUUUUGCAUAAUCCACUUGACUUUUUAACAGUCACUUUCAAAGUUACUUAUAUUCCUAACUGUAUUUCGAAUUCUUCUAUUCCCUGCUUUCUGCUACACACAUGAAUGCUUUAUGAUGGUAGCAUAUUGAUUGUGUAAUAUAAGCACAGGUUAAUGAGAUUGUAUAUUAUUACUAAUUUCUUUGUUUGUGUUCCUCAUAGUGAGAUUAUAAGGUAGUGAUAAAAGUGAAAACAAGGUAUAAACAUUUGAGAGGCAGUGAAAGCAAGGUAUUACUUAUUAUUAUAUAUGAAAGAAAAGUUGAGAGCAUGAAAUAUGCCAGAUGUAAGUUUGUUUAUGUUUGUGUUUGUGUCUUCAACGUUUUCUCCUAUGGUGACUUUUGGAUUGUAUAUAUGCUUGCGAAGCCUAAUUACUUUGUAUUUUUUAGGCUGCUACAUUAGCGCAUUAUCUCAGUUUCCUUGAAAAGUGUUUUGCACUAUCAAGAAGCUUCCCUCAAGCUUUUAUCAUUUGCUUCUUUUUCUUCUAUAAUCUGGAUUACUGAGGAUGAUGUUUUUUAUUCAACACUUCAACAAGUUAACUAAUUAACAUUGAGUUAUUCUUAAUCACUACAAUAGGUCCAUGACUGGUGGGGAGUGUCCUUAUAUUUUUUUAUCUUUUGGAGAGAUUUUUCUAGGUAAAAGGAUUGGGAGAUUUGUUUCCGUAUGAUUUAUUUGCAGGUAAAGGUAAUUGAGAGAAUGCAUAUGAAGAUCAAUACACAUGUUGAGCUUCUCUCAAGUUCUUUCCAUGAAUUAUCUUUGAUUCUGUUCAUCUCAUUGGGUUAAUUUUUCAUUUGUGGUCUACCAAAUCGUUUUUCACUUUUUGUUUGGUGGUCACACUUGAUGAUUUCUUUAUUUUUCAAACUUCAUGCCUUUGACAGGUUAAAAUUCAAAUUAAUUUAGUAUUAGCUUGCUGUUCUGACCACCGACAACUUCAUCAUGGAAAAUGUUGCUUUGUUUAGUGAGUCUUUUUCUCAUGAAGAAUGAUGUGCAAUUCAAGACCUGGAAACAUAUGGUAUAUUAUUGCUUAUGGUUGCUGGGAUGAGUGAUAAAGAAUCCUAUAUUUUGGGCAUACUAUACAUAUGUUUCUUCACUGUUUGUUAGAAACUGUUAAAGCUAUUUUUAUGUGUACUAUGUGAGAAUACUUCUUAGGAGACUUCUGGGACAUAUGUUCUCUUCUAUCAUGUAUACUGGGAAAAUGCUCACUGCUCUGAACCCUGUUCUGUUUACAGAAAUUCUAAAAACAGUAAUCUUUGUCAUGCUCUUCCCUGAUUUCUUCCAUAAAAUUUGAAGUUUUGAUCAUUUUUUCUGAUUGUGAAUUCUUGAGUCUUUGAAGGUGGACCAUGUCUCAUUCAAGAAGCUCAAAGCUUAAUAUAACAUAAUUAAAGAGAACAUAUCUAUAGAGUUUCCAACCAUCAUUGGUUGGGGAAAUUCUAUGUUCAAUCUGUCAAGGAGCAAUAUGUAUAGUUACGGUGCCAGGUUUGGUUACUGAGUUUCCAAAGGGAUGAACAGUGGGUUUGUUUUGUCCAAUGAUUAUGUUGUAGAAAGCUUGAAAAGAUUUGCACUGCUAAAGGCAUCCCUGCCAAGAAGAUAGUAUCAAGAACAAUUGAUUUUCAUCUGCUGAAAGGAUUCAACAGCAGGAAAUGUGUUGUGGCUGUCUUUCUUCAGAACAAAUCAUCAAGAACAAUUGAUUUAACAGAGUUAUUAAUUUAUAGUAUCUGUUGUACUCUUAUUAAUAUUUUUUCCUAACUAUGAUAACUUGAGACUUUGAGAGUGAAAUAUGUGAUAUGGGAAUUAUAAAA